GGGGAAAUAGCUCAGUUGGUAGAGAGUACUUGCCUCACAUGCACAAGGCCCUGGGUUCAAUCCCCAGCAAACCCC
This 75-nucleotide transfer RNA is filed under the name Ictidomys tridecemlineatus (thirteen-lined ground squirrel). RNAcentral's name for it is "Spermophilus tridecemlineatus (thirteen-lined ground squirrel) tRNA". It matches the Rfam family "tRNA". Rfam says of the family: Transfer RNA (tRNA) molecules are approximately 80 nucleotides in length. Their secondary structure includes four short double-helical elements and three loops (D, anti-codon, and T loops). Further hydrogen bonds mediate the characteristic L-shaped molecular structure. tRNAs have two regions of fundamental functional importance: the anti-codon, which is responsible for specific mRNA codon recognition, and the 3' end, to which the tRNAs corresponding amino acid is attached (by aminoacyl-tRNA synthetases). tRNAs cope with the degeneracy of the genetic code in two manners: having more than one tRNA (with a specific anti-codon) for a particular amino acid; and 'wobble' base-pairing, i.e. permitting non-standard base-pairing at the 3rd anti-codon position. The record is from Rfam by way of RNAcentral. Lineage: Eukaryota; Metazoa; Chordata; Mammalia; Rodentia; Sciuridae.